ACUCCUACGGGAGGCAGCAGUGGGAAUAUUGCACAAUGGGGAAAGCCCAUCGAUGCAGCCAUGCCCGCGUGUGUGAAGAAGGCCAAUUCGGGGCUUUGGUUAAAAGACACUUUCAGUAGGGAGGAAGGUAGUGUAGUUAACACCUGCAUUAUUUGACGUUACCUACAGAAGAAGCACCGGCUAACUCCGUGCCAGCAGCCGCGGUAAUACGGAGGGUGCGAGCGUUAAUCGGAAUUUACUGGGCGUAAAGCGCAUGCAGGCGGCCUGUUAAGUCAGAUGUGAAAGCC
RNAcentral lists this ribosomal RNA (287 nucleotides) under uncultured bacterium. RNAcentral describes it as "partial 16S ribosomal RNA". It matches the Rfam family "Bacterial small subunit ribosomal RNA", at positions 335 to 602 of the family's 1533-position model. The record is from RNAcentral.